AGUCUUCCGAAUCCAUGCCGAGAUUUCGUCACAUAGCAGACCAUCAGAAUUGAUCAGAUCCUCAAGAUAAGUGAAGUU
Molecule: microRNA precursor, 78 nt
Filed under: Schistosoma margrebowiei
Lineage: Eukaryota; Metazoa; Platyhelminthes; Trematoda; Strigeidida; Schistosomatidae
Description: mir-3492 microRNA precursor family
Rfam family: mir-3492 microRNA precursor family
Source: Rfam by way of RNAcentral